AUACAUACCUGACAGGGGAGUCUUAGCCAGAAUCUCUAGGGUGGCUCUCCCAGGGCGAGGCUGGUUCAUUGUACUCCGAGCCCACUGACCUAUGCGAUUUCCCCACAUGUGGGAAACUCGACGGCACACUUUGUUAGUGGGGGACUGCAUGCUCGCUUUCCCCUG
Small nuclear RNA from Bombina bombina (fire-bellied toad), 165 nucleotides. RefSeq annotates it as U1 spliceosomal RNA. Lineage: Eukaryota; Metazoa; Chordata; Amphibia; Anura; Bombinatoridae. The transcript has a single exon. The record is from RefSeq and is a predicted model, not a curated record.